This is a long non-coding RNA of Ictalurus punctatus (channel catfish), 873 nucleotides long. NCBI's taxonomy places the organism in Eukaryota, Metazoa, Chordata, Actinopteri, Siluriformes, Ictaluridae. The record is from Ensembl.
CGCGAGAGCCACAAACAAGCCGCUCACAAGGAGAAGCGGCGACUGGCCAUCCGUAAUGCAGCGCAGCAGUGGGAGGACUCCAGGAGCUUUCUCGAGCUUCCAGCACAGAACGGCGCCAAGGAAGAGCUGAGCCCAGAGAACAGCCCCGCCCACAGCCCAGGACAGACCAAUGGGAUCACUCAGGAGCCGUCACCCGAUGACCUCAGGCGAGAUAGAGGGAGUCCUCUCACUGUUCCUGAGCGUCCAGCAGGGGGCAGUGACGGUAAAGCGCGCUCUAGCAGCCGCCCCAACAGCCCCCGAGACCCCAGGUGUGUAUACACACACACACACACACACGCGCGCACAUCUUUCUCCUGUAGAAUAGAUGUAGAGUCUGCUAAACGCAGUAUGAAUCUAAUGCCUGUUAAGUAGAUCACUUCUAGAAGUUUCUGCAUGUCCUCCACUUGCAUUCCCAUCACAGUGACAUCACAUUCCUGUAGUGUUUGAUCUGCUUUCACUCUCUCCUCACACACACAUGGCCCACUUGCUUCUGUGUGUGUUUGUGUGUGUGUGUUUAUUCCAUUAUAAAGAUAAUUCAACGUUCAGACUGUAUUCUGAAAACACUCACACGCACACACACACACGUGUUUAAGAAUUUUUUAAGAAAGCAUGUUUGUCCAUUCAAGGGAGUUUUCUCUGGCUAAUAUCAUAGUCGAACCCAUCCCAGGAACGCAGAAAUACAACCUGGACUCACAAAUCCUUCACAACUAAGGCCAUUUUAGUGUAACCAGUCCACAGUCCUAAAUUCUGGCAUGUUUUUAGGAAGUGUGAAGACUUCAGACACACAUACCUCCACACAAGAGGCCAGGAGUUCAAACCCUGAGGCAAUAACAC